GAUGAAGAACGCAGCGAAAUGCGAUAAGUAAUGUGAAUUGCAGAAUUCAGUGAAUCAUCGAAUCUUUGAACGCAUCUUGCGCUCCUUGGUAUUCCGAGGAGCAUGCCUGUUUGAGUGUCAUUAAAUUCUCAACUACACUGAUUUUUUUUGGUUGGUGUAGAUUGGAUUUGGGGGAAUUUUUUGCGGGCUUUGUAAAAUGAAGUCGGCUCCCCUGAAAUUAAUUAGUGGUACCUUAGUAGAACUGUCUACAGGUGUGAUAAUUUAUCUACGACUCAGAUGUCUGCAUGAAAAAGGUUAUGCUGCUUCUUAACCUCACUAAUGAUAAUCUUGACCUCAAAUCAGGUAGGACUACCCGCUGAACUUAAGCAUAUCAAUAAGCGGAGGA
RNAcentral lists this unclassified non-coding RNA (385 nucleotides) under soil metagenome. RNAcentral describes it as "partial contains 5.8S ribosomal RNA, internal transcribed spacer 2, and large subunit ribosomal RNA". The stretch from base 1 to 120 matches the Rfam family "5.8S ribosomal RNA", at positions 35 to 154 of the family's 154-position model. The record is from RNAcentral.